AGUGAUCUAGAUUUGAGAAUCAAAGAUGUAAGGUAUGAAUUUCAUAAAUCAUGGGUUUAUGGGUUAGUUUGAGUCAGGUCUAUUUAACUGGGUUAAACCUAGGGUUAGAAAUCAUUGAUAAUGGACUAUGUUAGUAAUUGAUAAAAUCUAAUUAAUAGUUAAUUCAGAUUGGGUCAAUUCUUUUCUUAAUCAAUUCUUAAUAGUUGUAGUUGGUCAAGUUUAUAUUUAUUAUUAGACUAAGAUGGACC
RNAcentral lists this long non-coding RNA (248 nucleotides) under Elaeis guineensis (African oil palm). RNAcentral's name for it is "long non-coding RNA (EGUI_LNC033655)". The record is from RNAcentral. Lineage: Eukaryota; Viridiplantae; Streptophyta; Magnoliopsida; Arecales; Arecaceae.